This 429-nucleotide ribosomal RNA is filed under the name Bacteroidota bacterium. RNAcentral's name for it is "Bacteroidetes bacterium partial 16S ribosomal RNA". It matches the Rfam family "Bacterial small subunit ribosomal RNA", at positions 355 to 776 of the family's 1533-position model. The record is from RNAcentral. Lineage: Bacteria; Pseudomonadati; Bacteroidota.
UAGGGAAUCUUCCGCAAUGGGCGAAAGCCUGACGGAGCAACGCCGCGUGAGUGAUGAAGGUCUUCGGAUCGUAAAACUCUGUUAUUAGGGAAGAAUAAAUGUGUAAGUAACUAUGCACGUCUUGACGGUACCUAAUCAGAAAGCCACGGCUAACUACGUGCCAGCAGCCGCGGUAAUACGUAGGUGGCAAGCGUUAUCCGGAAUUAUUGGGCGUAAAGCGCGCGUAGGCGGUUUUUUAAGUCUGAUGUGAAAGCCCACGGCUCAACCGUGGAGGGUCAUUGGAAACUGGAAAACUUGAGUGCAGAAGAGGAAAGUGGAAUUCCAUGUGUAGCGGUGAAAUGCGCAGAGAUAUGGAGGAACACCAGUGGCGAAGGCGACUCUCUGGUCUGUAACUGACGCUGAGGUUCGAAAGCGUGGGUAGCAAACAGG